UUCAAAGCUCCCCAGUGAUUCACAGAAAGCAAAUUCUGGAAAUUAGCUGAGAAUGGACCAGGAUGGUGACAACAGGACUGCCAGCAAGGGGAUGUUGGUGACUCUUGAACGGUGUCUGCAGACAACGUAUGGCAUGCCGAUGGGACUCAGUGACCUCCAGCUGCCAGCCCACGACCUGCUGCCUCACGAAGGGGCUGACGGGACUCUUUCAUCAACCCUUUCCAUGGCGCGCACUGGGG
Ochotona princeps (American pika) is the source of this 239-nucleotide long non-coding RNA. RefSeq lists it as uncharacterized. The record is from RefSeq and is a predicted model, not a curated record. The transcript has 3 exons. Lineage: Eukaryota; Metazoa; Chordata; Mammalia; Lagomorpha; Ochotonidae.